CCUACGGGGGGCUGUAGUGGGGAAUAUUGGACAAUGGGGGGAACCCUGAUCCAGCCAUGCCGCGUGUGUGAAGAAGGCCCUCGGGUUGUAAAGCACUUUCAGUGAGGAAGAACGCCUGGUGGUUAAUACCCAUCAGGAAAGACAUCACUCACAGAAGAAGCACCGGCUAACUCCGUGCCAGCAGCCGCGGUAAUACGGAGGGUGCGAGCGUUAAUCGGAAUUACUGGGCGUAAAGCGCGCGUAGGUGGCUUGAUAAGCCGGUUGUGAAAGCCCCGGGCUCAACCUGGGAACGGCAUCCGGAACUGUCAAGCUAGAGUGCAGGAGAGGAAGGUAGAAUUCCCGGUGUAGCGGUGAAAUGCGUAGAGAUCGGGAGGAAUACCAGUGGCGAAGGCGGCCUUCUGGACUGACACUGACACUGAGGUGCGAAAGCGUGGGUAGCAAACAGGAUUAGAUACCCUUGUAGUC
This 465-nucleotide ribosomal RNA is filed under the name Vreelandella stevensii. RNAcentral describes it as "partial 16S ribosomal RNA". It matches the Rfam family "Bacterial small subunit ribosomal RNA", at positions 338 to 795 of the family's 1533-position model. The record is from RNAcentral. Lineage: Bacteria; Pseudomonadati; Pseudomonadota; Gammaproteobacteria; Oceanospirillales; Halomonadaceae.